RNAcentral lists this ribosomal RNA (492 nucleotides) under uncultured bacterium. RNAcentral's name for it is "partial 16S ribosomal RNA". It matches the Rfam family "Bacterial small subunit ribosomal RNA", at positions 29 to 507 of the family's 1533-position model. The record is from RNAcentral.
AGUGAACGCUGGCGGUAGGCCUAACACAUGCAAGUCGAACGGCAGCGCAGUACGAGCUUGCUCUUCCGGGUGGCGAGUGGCGGACGUGUGAGGAAUACAUCGGAAUCUACUUUUUCGUGGGGGUUCACGUAGGGAAACUUACGCUCAUACCGCAUAUGCCCUAGCGGUGAAAGCAGUGGAACUUCGCAGCUUGCGCGGUUGAACUCGCCGCUGACGGAUUAGCUAGUUGGCGGGGUAAAGGCCAACCAAGGCGCCGAUCCGUAGCUGGUCUGAGAGGAUGGUCAGCCGCACGGGAACGGAGACACGGUCCAGACGCCUACGGGAGGCAGCAGUGGGGAAUAUUGGACAAUGGGCGCAAGCCUUAUCCAGCCAUACCGCGUGGGUGAAGGAGGCCUUCGGUUUGUAAAGCCGUUUUGUUGGGAAAGAAAAGCAGCAGGUUAAUACCCCGCGGUUCUGACGGUACCCAAAGAAUAAGCACCGGCUAACUUCGUG